UUUUUUUUGAAGCGCAGCAAAAAUUUAUCUUUAACGGUUCAUUUAUUCUCCUUAUCAAUUUUUCUUUUGUUUAUUGCAAGGGUGAAACAGCGUCCUAAAACCAUCUGCCAACAAAGGGAAGCUAUUACAGGAUGACAGACACCAAAGAGGGAAAUCCUUUGAAAACUGAUGGAGAUGGGAUUGAUGUUUCCAUUAUUCUCUCAAAUGGGGACAAAUAUGGUAAGAAGGGAUUUAAACUCUAAACAGUUAUAUGUGGGGGCCAUAUGGAUUGAAAGUGUGUAGGAAAAAACAGACCUCAGAUGGGAUUUGGUUGAGCUUGAAUCAUUUCCUGUAUAAGUUUGUCUCAUGGAGGUCACUCACUAUUAGGGGAUCCUUU
Cyprinodon tularosa is the source of this 376-nucleotide long non-coding RNA. RefSeq lists it as uncharacterized. The transcript has 3 exons. The record is from RefSeq and is a predicted model, not a curated record. NCBI's taxonomy places the organism in Eukaryota, Metazoa, Chordata, Actinopteri, Cyprinodontiformes, Cyprinodontidae.